This is a long non-coding RNA of Rhipicephalus microplus (southern cattle tick), 392 nucleotides long. Lineage: Eukaryota; Metazoa; Arthropoda; Arachnida; Ixodida; Ixodidae. The record is from RefSeq and is a predicted model, not a curated record.
GGUGACGGAAGUCAAGAACAAGCUGACAACUACCACCUGAAGGGGCAACACGCUUCUUUGCGCUUUCAGCAAGGGUACGCACGGUUAUGAAGAAAGAAGAGGGACAAAAAAGAGGAAAGAACAAAGAAAUAACACAGACAUGAGCACAACAAUAGCCACGGCAACACAGCUCCAUAUAUAUUUAGGCGUGGAGUGAUAUACGGGCAAGCGAAAUUUCGAGUCACCUUCUUUGUACAAGCUGUGUACAAGCCCCUCCUCCUCGGUUAUUAUUGAUCGGCAAUCAACCCAAUCACUGCUAACAAAGCACAGAAGACAGUAAAAUGUUUACUAAUUAAUGCCGCAGCAACCAAUUUUCAUGCCCGACAGAUAACAAAUAAAAUCAUGCAAUUUGA